This 253-nucleotide ribosomal RNA is filed under the name uncultured bacterium. Its description in RNAcentral is "partial 16S ribosomal RNA". It matches the Rfam family "Bacterial small subunit ribosomal RNA", at positions 524 to 776 of the family's 1533-position model. The record is from RNAcentral.
UACGAAGGGGGCUAGCGUUGUUCGGAAUUACUGGGCGUAAAGCGCGCGCAGGCGGCUAUCCAAGUCAGUGGUGAAAGCCCGGAGCUCAACUCCGGAACUGCCAUUGAAACUGUUUAGCUUGAGGAUGAGAGAGGUGAGUGGAAUUCCCAGUGUAGAGGUGAAAUUCGUAGAUAUUGGGAAGAACACCGGUGGCGAAGGCGGCUCACUGGCUCAUUACUGACGCUCAGGCGCGAUAGUGUGGGGAUCAAACAGG